RNAcentral lists this ribosomal RNA (397 nucleotides) under uncultured bacterium. RNAcentral's name for it is "partial 16S ribosomal RNA". It matches the Rfam family "Bacterial small subunit ribosomal RNA", at positions 523 to 918 of the family's 1533-position model. The record is from RNAcentral.
AUACGUAGGGGGCGAGCGUUGUCCGGAAUGAUUGGGCGUAAAGGGCGCGUAGGCGGCGCGGUAAGUCUGGAGUGAAAGUCCUGCUUUCAAGGUGGGAAUUGCUUUGGAUACUGCCGCGCUUGAGUGCAGGAGAGGUUAUCGGAAUUCCCGGUGUAGCGGUGAAAUGCGUAGAGAUCGGGAGGAACACCAGUGGCGAAGGCGGGUAACUGGACUGCAACUGACGCUGAGGCGCGAAAGUGUGGGGAGCAAACAGGAUGAGAUACCCUGGUAGUCCACACUGUAAACGAUGAAUGCUAGGUGUAAGAGGUAUCGACCCCUUUUGUGCCGGAGUCAACACAAUAAGCAUUCCGCCUGGGGAGUACGGCCGCAAGGUUGAAACUCAAAUGAAUUGACGGGG